GCCCCGGUGGCACAAUCGGUUAGCGCGCCGUACUUAUAAUGCGGAGGUUGUGAGUUCGAACCUCACCCGGAGCU
RNAcentral lists this transfer RNA (74 nucleotides) under Octopus bimaculoides (California two-spot octopus). Its description in RNAcentral is "transfer RNA isoleucine (anticodon UAU)". It matches the Rfam family "tRNA". From Rfam's summary of the family: Transfer RNA (tRNA) molecules are approximately 80 nucleotides in length. Their secondary structure includes four short double-helical elements and three loops (D, anti-codon, and T loops). Further hydrogen bonds mediate the characteristic L-shaped molecular structure. tRNAs have two regions of fundamental functional importance: the anti-codon, which is responsible for specific mRNA codon recognition, and the 3' end, to which the tRNAs corresponding amino acid is attached (by aminoacyl-tRNA synthetases). tRNAs cope with the degeneracy of the genetic code in two manners: having more than one tRNA (with a specific anti-codon) for a particular amino acid; and 'wobble' base-pairing, i.e. permitting non-standard base-pairing at the 3rd anti-codon position. The record is from RNAcentral. Lineage: Eukaryota; Metazoa; Mollusca; Cephalopoda; Octopoda; Octopodidae.